UGCGGUGAUCGUCGAGCAGGUGGCGAACGGUGUGGCCGUGCGGAUGGCGGUGCUGUACCUGCUGCUGUCCGGCUCGGGGCCGGAGCACCGCGG
Molecule: transfer RNA, 93 nt
Filed under: Cellulomonas soli
Lineage: Bacteria; Bacillati; Actinomycetota; Actinomycetes; Micrococcales; Cellulomonadaceae
Description: tRNA-His
Source: RNAcentral